RNAcentral lists this transfer RNA (63 nucleotides) under Cucujoidea sp. 16 KM-2017. Its description in RNAcentral is "tRNA-Cys". Lineage: Eukaryota; Metazoa; Arthropoda; Insecta; Coleoptera. The record is from RNAcentral.
AGUUUUAUAGUCAACUAUGAUUUUAAAUUGCAAAUUUAAAGGUAAACUAAGGUUUUAAAACUU